GAGGGUAUAGCUCAGUGGUAGAGCAUGUGCUUAGCAUGCAUAAGGUCCUGGAUUCAAUCCCCAAUACCUCCA
Molecule: transfer RNA, 72 nt
Filed under: Camelus bactrianus (Bactrian camel)
Lineage: Eukaryota; Metazoa; Chordata; Mammalia; Artiodactyla; Camelidae
Also listed under: 2 other names
Rfam family: tRNA
About the family: Transfer RNA (tRNA) molecules are approximately 80 nucleotides in length.
Source: Rfam by way of RNAcentral